AUUGAACGCUGGCGGCAUGCCUUACACAUGCAAGUCGAACGGUAACGGGCCUUCGGGUGCCGACGAGUGGCGAACGGGUGAGUAAUGCAUCGGAACGUACCUUUCAGUGGGGGAGUAACGUAGCGAAAGUUAACGCUAAUACCGCAUAUUCUGUGAGCAGGAAAGGACAGGGGAGUCGCAAGACCUUGCGCUGAUUGAGCGGCCGAUGUCAGAUUAGCUAGUUGGUGAGGUAAAGGCUCACCAAGGCGACGAUCUGUAGCGGGUCGUGAGAGGAUGAUCCGCCACACUGGAACUGAGACACGGUCCAGACUCCUACGGGAGGGCAGCAGUGGGGGAAG
Molecule: ribosomal RNA, 338 nt
Filed under: uncultured bacterium
Lineage: Bacteria
Description: bacterial SSU rRNA
Rfam family: Bacterial small subunit ribosomal RNA
Source: RNAcentral